CUUCCACUUUCCUCUUGUUUCACUGUUAAGCAGCUUGUUUUGUUAAGAAAUUAUUCCUAAAGCUAAGCCAAAAAAAAAAAAUACCCUUCUGGUCAUUUGAACCUAUUGAUUCAAGUUUUGCCAUCUAAAACUUGAGGUGAAGAACAAAGGAAACUGUCCUUCACCUUGAGAAAAUGAAGUUUUGUCUCAAGGGCUUAUCUUUGUGAAUUCUGGAAGCCGGACAAUUGCUUGGACACUUCUGCGUGCAAGUGUUUUUCAUCUACUGAUUCUGCUACAGCCAUGUACAAAAGAUGUGUCUCAGAAAAUGGCAGGCACAAAAAAAGUCUUCCCCAAAGAUCUCAGACUGAGGCUGGAGAAUAACCAAGACCCAAGUGAUAUAUCAUAAUCAUAAUUUUGAAAUAGAAUGAGACAUGCACUCUCUGUAACCAGCCUGAGCCAACCGUCUGUCACAUUUUAGACCAACUGAAUUUUUUAUAUUCUUUUCUGAGGCAGUUCCACAUAAAUGGUAUAGCAGUAGUCCAAGCAGGAUGUAUGAAAGGCAUGGUGAAAUAUGAGCAGAUCAGAUUUAUCCAGGAUUGGGCAUAGCUGGUACAUAAAUUGGUACAUCUUGACAUCUAUGUUCAGGGAUGAAUCUAGAAGUAUGUGUAAACUGUGAACCUGAAUCUUUGAAAUGGGGGGGGGGGGGAAUCUUAUCCAACAGUGGUUGAAUUCCUGUUACCUGAUCCACUCUUCAGUUGCUUCGAAGCACUUCUGGUUUCUUUGACUUCAAUAGGGCAAAAUAAAUAC
Sceloporus undulatus (fence lizard) is the source of this 786-nucleotide long non-coding RNA. RefSeq lists it as uncharacterized. Lineage: Eukaryota; Metazoa; Chordata; Lepidosauria; Squamata; Phrynosomatidae. The record is from RefSeq and is a predicted model, not a curated record. The transcript is spliced from 3 exons.